UACGUAGGUGGCAAGCGUUGUCCGGAUUUAUUGGGUUUAAAGGGUGCGUAGGCGGCUUUUUAAGUCAGUGGUGAAAUCCGAUCGCUUAACCAUCGAACUGCCAUUGAUACUGAGAGUCUUGAGUAUAGUUGAGGUAGGCGGAAUUGACAGUGUAGCGGUGAAAUGCAUAGAUAUUGUCAAGAACACCAGCUGCGAAGGCAGCUUACUAAAGUAUAACUGACGCUGAGGCACGAAAGUGCGGGGAUCAAACAGG
RNAcentral lists this ribosomal RNA (253 nucleotides) under uncultured bacterium. RNAcentral describes it as "partial 16S ribosomal RNA". It matches the Rfam family "Bacterial small subunit ribosomal RNA", at positions 524 to 776 of the family's 1533-position model. The record is from RNAcentral.